RNAcentral lists this long non-coding RNA (463 nucleotides) under Pongo abelii (Sumatran orangutan). RNAcentral describes it as "lincRNA". Lineage: Eukaryota; Metazoa; Chordata; Mammalia; Primates; Hominidae. The record is from RNAcentral.
CAAGAUUCCGGGGAGCGCGUCUUUCUCCUGUCUCCUCCCCCAGAUGUGCGGGUGUCCUUCCCCCAACACCAUGGAAGAAGGGGUCCAGGAAGGAAAUGUCACACUUGCCUGUGCCCCCCACCUGGUCUGCAGAAAGGCAGAGAAGACCGACUCAUGGAGGACAAAGACGGCCUCUGUCUGGAGCUUCUAUGAGUUACAUAAUGUAUAAAUGAUUUCACUACAAAGCAGUGAAAUUUUUGAAAGUUAACCAGUGGCAGAAGUGUCAGGACAGUCUGCACGGGCAAGAAUGAUAUCUAAAUCACUACUCAGGCACAGGAGAGAGCAGGACUGGCAUGUCUGGCAGGAAUGAGCUAUGGAAGAUGGGAGAGAAGAUUGAGGAUGGAUGACUAAGAGCAAUGAAAGCUUACAAAGAAACCCAAGAAAGCGAAAUAUUUGCUUACGAAUAAACAGGAAGGGAAGAAAU